UACGUAGGUGGCGAGCGUUGUCCGGAUUUAUUGGGCGUAAAGGGCGCGCAGGUGGUGCGGUAAGGCUGCCGUGAAAUCUCCCGGCUCAACUGGGAGGGUGCGGUGGCGACUGCCGGACUGGAGGCACUCAGAGGCCGGUGGAAUUCCCGGUGUAGUGGUGAAAUGCGUAGAGAUCGGGAGGAACACCAGUGGCGAAGGCGGCCGGCUGGGGGUGACCGUGACGCUGGAGGCGCGAAGGCGUGGGGAGCGAACGGG
RNAcentral lists this ribosomal RNA (255 nucleotides) under uncultured bacterium. RNAcentral describes it as "partial 16S ribosomal RNA". It matches the Rfam family "Bacterial small subunit ribosomal RNA", at positions 524 to 776 of the family's 1533-position model. The record is from RNAcentral.